RNAcentral lists this ribosomal RNA (171 nucleotides) under uncultured Propionibacterium sp. Its description in RNAcentral is "partial 16S ribosomal RNA". It matches the Rfam family "Bacterial small subunit ribosomal RNA", at positions 338 to 521 of the family's 1533-position model. Lineage: Bacteria; Bacillati; Actinomycetota; Actinomycetes; Propionibacteriales; Propionibacteriaceae. The record is from RNAcentral.
CCUACGGGAGGCAGCAGUCAGGAAUAUUGCACAAUGGGCGGAAGCCUGAUGCAGCAACGCCGCGUGCGGGAUGACGGCCUUCGGGUUGUAAACCGCUUUCGCCUGUGACGAAGCGUGAGUGACGGUAAUGGGUAAAGAAGCACCGGCUAACUACGUGCCAGCAGCCGCGGU